Molecule: ribosomal RNA, 491 nt
Filed under: uncultured bacterium
Lineage: Bacteria
Description: partial 16S ribosomal RNA
Rfam family: Bacterial small subunit ribosomal RNA
Source: RNAcentral
AGUGAACGCUGGCGGUAGGCCUAACACAUGCAAGUCGAACGGCAGCACAGUAAGAGCUUGCUCUUACGGGUGGCGAGUGGCGGACGGGUGAGGAAUACAUCGGAAUCUACUUUUUCGUGGGGGAUAACGUAGGGAAACUUACGCUAAUACCGCAUACGACCUACGGGUGAAAGCAGGGGAUCUUCGGACCUUGCGCGAUUGAAUGAGCCGAUGUCGGAUUAGCUAGUUGGCGGGGUAAAGGCCCACCAAGGCGACGAUCCGUAGCUGGUCUGAGAGGAUGAUCAGCCACACUGGAAAUGAGACACGGUCCAGACUCCAAGGGGAGGCAGCAGGGGGGAAUAUUGGACAAUGGGCGCAAGCCUGAUCCAGCAAACCCGCGUGGGUGAAGAAGGCCUUCGGGUUGUAAAGCCCUUUUGUUGGGAAGAAAAGCAGCAGGUUAAUACCCCGCUGUUCUGACGGUACCCAAAGAAUAAGCACCGGCUAACUUCGUG